UACGGAGGAUGCGAGCGUUAUCCGGAUUUAUUGGGUUUAAAGGGUGCGUAGGCGGGAUGCCAAGUCAGCGGUAAAAAUGCGGUGCUCAAUGCCGUCGAGCCGUUGAAACUGGCGUUCUUGAGUGGGCGAGAAGUAUGCGGAAUGCGUGGUGUAGCGGUGAAAUGCAUAGAUAUCACGCAGAACUCCGAUUGCGAAGGCAGCAUACCGGCGCCCUACUGACGCUGAGGCACGAAAGCGUGGGUAUCGAACAGG
Molecule: ribosomal RNA, 252 nt
Filed under: uncultured bacterium
Lineage: Bacteria
Description: partial 16S ribosomal RNA
Rfam family: Bacterial small subunit ribosomal RNA
Source: RNAcentral